This 63-nucleotide non-coding RNA is filed under the name Paraburkholderia susongensis. RNAcentral's name for it is "Fluoride sequence". It matches the Rfam family "Fluoride riboswitch aptamer (crcB RNA motif)". Lineage: Bacteria; Pseudomonadati; Pseudomonadota; Betaproteobacteria; Burkholderiales; Burkholderiaceae. The record is from RNAcentral.
AAUUGACGUGGAGAUGGCAUUCCUCCCUAACCGCCCGCAAGGGCUAAUGAUGCCUACAGGCCU